Gallus gallus (chicken) is the source of this 823-nucleotide long non-coding RNA. RefSeq lists it as uncharacterized. NCBI's taxonomy places the organism in Eukaryota, Metazoa, Chordata, Aves, Galliformes, Phasianidae. The record is from RefSeq and is a predicted model, not a curated record. The transcript has 2 exons.
CAGGAACACUAUGCGGUGGCUGCACUUCCCCGUGGUGCUCUGAGCCCCAUCCGUGGGCAGAUGGGGCAGAAGGGGCAUCACUGUGCAGGCACAGUGCCUACAGCCUCCAUGCCUGGAAUGUGUAGGAUUUGCUCCUGGUUUUCACUGGUAACGUCACGCCCAAUUUAGAAGAUACAAGCAUCAAGUGACUUGGCAUGGGGAUGUACUCAAACAAAGGAAAAGAAACCGCUUACAAUUUAUGACACGCUUUGAUAGCUGCGAUUUAAAAAGGCCAUUGAUUCAUUCCAGCAAAUGUUACAACAACAAGCACAAGACUAACGACCUGAUGCCUUGUCAGAGAUGUUCACAGGUCAGAUAAAACGACCACAUUCUAACGGCAGGAUCCAGCCUUUCAAAGACUGCCCUGUUUGAGCUUCUCCCAGGCUUUGAUCCCCGCAAGCCGUACGUCAGCGCCGUCCUCCCAAAAGCUGGCCUCACGCUGAGGGGUUUCUGCUGACACACUUUCUGAGAUCCUUUUGGGCUGCCCUACCUUCCAUCCUCCUCCAUCCCGCACACCCGAGUGGUUUCCUGCUUCACAAAGAAGCAGCGAGAGAAGGGAAGAAAACCUUCAGCCCACGCCAGGGCUUGCCAAACAGCUGGUGAAGAAUAGCCCUAGAAAAACUGAUAUUUAAACAACUGUGGGGAAGAUUCGUCAAUUGAAGAGGAGCGGGGUGAGAUCAUCUGUUGCCUUCUGUUGUCUUUUGGCUGAAAGCGGCCAACGGACAGCUGGAUUGCCCCGGAUCCUGCACUUAAACACAUCUGCGGAAAUAUUUGUGUUUCAUCA